UACAGAGGUGGCAAGCGUUGUUCGGAAUUACUGGGCGUAAAGGGCGCGUAGGCGGCCUACUAAGUCAGACGUGAAAUCCCCAGGCUCAACCUGGGAACUGCGUCUGAUACUGGAUGGCUUGAAUCCGGGAGAGGGAUGCAGAAUUCCAGGUGUAGCGGUGAAAUGCGUAGAUAUCUGGAGGAAUACCGGUGGCGAAGGCGGCAUCCUGGACCGGCAUUGACGCUGAGGAGCGAAAGCCAGGGGAGCAAACGGG
RNAcentral lists this ribosomal RNA (253 nucleotides) under uncultured bacterium. Its description in RNAcentral is "partial 16S ribosomal RNA". It matches the Rfam family "Bacterial small subunit ribosomal RNA", at positions 524 to 776 of the family's 1533-position model. The record is from RNAcentral.